AAAACGACUCUAGACWACGGAUAUCUCGGCUCUCGYAUCGAUGAAGAACGUAGCAAAAUGCGAUACUUGGUGUGAAUUGCAGAAUCCCGUGAACCAUCGAGUCUUUGAACGCAAGUUGCGCCGGAAGCSAWUAGGCCGAGGGSAGGUCAGCUUGGGCGUCACGY
RNAcentral lists this ribosomal RNA (164 nucleotides) under Downingia montana. Its description in RNAcentral is "5.8S ribosomal RNA". It matches the Rfam family "5.8S ribosomal RNA". From Rfam's summary of the family: 5.8S ribosomal RNA (5.8S rRNA) is a component of the large subunit of the eukaryotic ribosome. It is transcribed by RNA polymerase I as part of the 45S precursor that also contains 18S and 28S rRNA. Functionally, it is thought that 5.8S rRNA may be involved in ribosome translocation. The record is from RNAcentral. Lineage: Eukaryota; Viridiplantae; Streptophyta; Magnoliopsida; Asterales; Campanulaceae.